This 363-nucleotide transfer RNA is filed under the name uncultured Microcystis sp. RNAcentral's name for it is "partial 16S-23S ribosomal RNA intergenic spacer". The stretch from base 135 to 208 matches the Rfam family "tRNA". The record is from RNAcentral. Lineage: Bacteria; Bacillati; Cyanobacteriota; Cyanophyceae; Chroococcales; Microcystaceae.
AAGGGAGACCUAAUUCAGGUAGGAGACGAAAAAAAAGUAGUCGCUACCAAGAAUCAAUCCCAAAAGGUCGGAGCGAGGCGAAAUUGGCUUUCAAACUAGGUUCUGGGUUCACACAAGACCUGAAUCAGGAACAAGGGCUAUUAGCUCAGGUGGUUAGAGCGCACCCCUGAUAAGGGUGAGGUCCCUGGUUCGAGUCCAGGAUGGCCCACCUGUACAGGUGGCAAAAAGAAAGAAAAGAAGCGAGGAAUCAGCACCUUAUCUUACUGACAUAGUAAGAGAGAAUGCUGGCUCUGAGUAAAGAGUCCAGAGGAACCUUGAAAACUGCAUAGAGCUAGGUGGAAAGGCCAAAAAAGAAGACCGCAA